CCUACGUGAGGCAGCAGUGGGGAAUAUUGCACAAUGGGGGAAACCCUGAUGCAGCGACGCCGCGUGAGUGAAGAAGUAUUUCGGUAUGUAAAGCUCUAUCAGCAGGGAAGAAAAUGACGGUACCUGAUUAAGAAGCCCCGGCUAACUACGGGCCAGCAGCCGCGGUAAUACGUAGGGGGCAAGCGUGAUCCGGAUUGACGGGGGGUAAAGGGAGCGUAGACGGCAGCACAAGUCUGGAGUGAAAUGCCGGGGCUGAACCCCGGGACUGCUUUUGAAACUGUGCAGCUAGAGUGCAGGAGAGGUCAGUUGAUUUCCUAGUGUAGCUGUGCAAUGCGUAGAUAUUAGGCGGAACACCAGUGGCGCAGGCGUCUUACUGGACUGUACCUGCCGUUGCGGCUCGAAAGCGUGGGGAGCAACCAGGAUUAGAUACCCCAGUAGUC
RNAcentral lists this ribosomal RNA (440 nucleotides) under uncultured bacterium. Its description in RNAcentral is "partial 16S ribosomal RNA". It matches the Rfam family "Bacterial small subunit ribosomal RNA", at positions 338 to 795 of the family's 1533-position model. The record is from RNAcentral.